Molecule: non-coding RNA, 76 nt
Organism: Podarcis lilfordi (Lilford's wall lizard)
Lineage: Eukaryota; Metazoa; Chordata; Lepidosauria; Squamata; Lacertidae
Source: the annotation of a GenBank genome assembly
GCACCUGGAUAGCUCAGUUGGUUAGAGUGUGGUCCUGAUAAUGCCAAGGUUGCAGGUUUGAUCCCCGUAUAGGGCA